RNAcentral lists this long non-coding RNA (2627 nucleotides) under Salmo salar (Atlantic salmon). RNAcentral's name for it is "lncRNA (ENSSSAG00000086090.1)". The record is from RNAcentral. Lineage: Eukaryota; Metazoa; Chordata; Actinopteri; Salmoniformes; Salmonidae.
UGCAUGUCAGCAUCUGUAUAUAAAAAUAAAGUCAACUCGAUGCAUACGGAUAAUAUUCAAAAGCAAUCUGCAAUAUACCCAACAACCAGACAGGUUUAUGUAUAAAGGACCAACACUGAAAAGUAUGAUGUUAAAAUGUUAUAAGCAGGAAAGGGACAUUUGAAGGGCAAUUAGCCUUUUCCUUAAUUCAUUAUCGUUAAGUAACCAGGGAUGAAGUGGAGCACAUACAGAAAACAUGCAUCCUGAUAAAACAGUAUCUCGCCCUCUCCACCAGGCCAGCCUCCUCUCUCACUGGCUCCCUCCCAUCUGGGAGAUCUCUGAGUGGUCUGGGAGCUCUCUGAGUGGUCUGGGAGCUCUCUGAGUGGUCUGGGAACUCUCUGAGUGGUCUGGGAACUCUCUGAGUGGUCUGGAACUCUCUGUGUGGUCUGGAACUCUCUGAGUGGUCUGGAACUCUCUGAGUGGUCUGGAACUCUCUGAGUGGUCUGGAACUCUCUGAGUGGUCUGGAACUCUCUGUGGUCUGGAACUCUCUGUGUGGUCUAGGAGCUCUCUGAGUGGUCUGGGAGCUCUCUGAGUGGUCUGGGAGCUCUCUGAGUGGUCUGGGAGCUCUCUGAGUGGUCUGGGAGCUCUCUGAGUGGUCUGGGAGCUCUCUGAGUGGUCUGGGAACUCUCUGAGUGGUCUGGGAGCUCUCUGAGUGGUCUGGAACUCUCUGAGUGGUCUGGAACUCUCUGAGUGGUCUGGAACUCUCUGAGUGGUCUGGAACUCUCUGAGUGGUCUGGAACUCUCUGUGGUCUGGAACUCUCUGAGUGGUCUGGAACUCUCUGAGUGGUCUGGAACUCUCUGAGUGGUCUGGAACUCUCUGAGUGGUCUGGAACUCUCUGAGUGGUCUGGAACUCUCUGUGGUCUGGAACUCUCUGAGUGGUCUGGAACUCUCUGUGUGGUCUGGGAGCUCUCUGAGUGGUCUGGAACUCUCUGAGUGGUCUGGGAACUCUCUGUGGUCUGGAACUCUCUGUGGUCUGGAACUCUCUGAGUGGUCUGGGAGCUCUCUGAGUGGUCUGGGAGCUCUCUGAGUGGUCUGGGAGCUCUCUGAGUGGUAUGGGAGCUCUCUGAGUGGUCUGGAACUCUCUGAGUGGUCUGGGAACUCUCUGAGUGGUCUGGAACUCUCUGAGUGGUCUGGAACUCUCUGAGUGGUCUGGAACUCUCUGUGGUCUGGAACUCUCUGAGUGGUCUGGGAACUCUCUGAGUGGUCUGGGAACUCUCUGAGUGGUCUGGGAACUCUCUGAGUGGUCUGGAACUCUCUGUGUGGUCUGGAACUCUCUGAGUGGUCUGGAACUCUCUGUGGUCUGGAACUCUCUGAGUGGUCUGGGAACUCUCUGUGGUCUGGGAGCUCUCUGAGUGGUCUGGGAACUCUCUGAGUGGUCUGGGAGCUCUCUGAGUGGUCUGGGAACUCUCUGAGUGGUCUGGGAACUCUCUGAGUGCGGGCACAUGUCUAGUGGUUAAGCGUGUUGGGCCAGUAACCGAAAAGUCACUGGUUCGAAUUCCAGUGAAAGAUCUGUUGAUGUGCCCUUUAGCAAGGCACUUAACCCUGAUUGCUCCUGUAAGGUGCUCUGGAUAAGAGCGUCAGCUAAAUGACUCAAAUGUUAAAUGUAAAUGUGUCUCUUCAGCACAGCCUCCCUGUUGAGCCAAGUGGGGGCUAUAUGUCUCUUCAGCACAGCCUCCCUGUGGAGUCAAGUGGAGGCUAUGUGUCUCUUCAGCACAGCCUCCCUGUGGAGCCAAGUGGAGGCUAUAUGUCUCUUCAGCACAGCCUCCCUGUGGAGCCAAGUGGAGACUAUGUGUCUCUUCAGCACAGCCUCCCUGUGGAGCCAAGUGGAGGCUAUGUGUCUCUUCAGCACAGCCUCCCUGUGGAGCCAAGUGGAGGCUAUAUGUCUCUUCAGCACAGCCUCCCUGUGGAGCCAAGUGGAGACUAUGUGUCUCUUCAGCACAGCCUCCCUGUGGAGCCAAGUGGAGGCUAUAUGUCUCUUCAGCACAGCCUCCCUGUGGAGCCAAGUGGAGGCUAUGUGUCUCUUCAGCACAGGCUCCCUGUGGAGCCAAGUGGAGGCUAUAUGUCUCUUCAGCACAGCCUCCCUGUGGAGCCAAGUGGAGGCUAUGUGGCUCUUCAGCACAGCCUCCCUGUGGAGCCAAGUGGAGGCUAAUUGCUAGUAGAUGAGGUUGAUGGGCACAUGUAAGAUGAGGGCCAUGAGGACAGCUCUCAAUAGCAGUGAAAGUGAGGAAUUCACCUACACAUGGAACCAGGAGAAGCACAUUCUUGACAAAUGCACUCAAACUGCCAAAGAGUGGCUGGUCUGAGAAGAAAUGACUUGCUGUCUUCCUGAAGCCCUGUGUGUGCUGUCCUGUAGCUGAGAGCAAAUAAAAGCAAAGUGCAGCACUAUCCAUUGGAGAUUAUGACAGCAGCAUAUACUGUAGGCCUAUAUCAUAUUACCCUGACCAUACACUCAGCCAUUCUCUCUCAGAACUGAUCAAUAUUGUGAUCUAAAGCCAACGUUGACUCUCCCGAGUGGCGCAGCGGUCUAAUGCACUGAAUCACAUUGCUUGAGGCGUCACUACAGACCCGAGUUCGAUGCCAGGCUGG